This 10387-nucleotide long non-coding RNA is filed under the name Ananas comosus (pineapple). RNAcentral's name for it is "long non-coding RNA (ACOM_LNC008816)". Lineage: Eukaryota; Viridiplantae; Streptophyta; Magnoliopsida; Poales; Bromeliaceae. The record is from RNAcentral.
CUAAUCACUUAAAGUGAAUAGUAACUCCGAUUUUCCGGCGAAGCCAAUGAGUGGAGAAGGCUUCCGGUGCGUAUUGGACUCCGUUCAUAGCAAUCCAAUAGCUCAUUUUGAACGGUUCGACUAUUCUGAAACCUAUGGCACUGAUGGAUUUGGGUUCUGAUGCACGGUUUUUGAGAAAAAGGGGUUUGAUUGGAUUUAGAUAUAUAUAUAUAUAUAUAUAUAUAUAUAUAUAUAUAUAUAUAUAUAUAUAUAUAUAUAUAUAUAUAUACCAAAAUNNNNNNNNNNNNNNNNNUAUAUAUAUAUAAGUAUGAUGAUUGGUGGAUUGCAGAGAGGGCUGGGUUCGUCGUAAAUCGAAGACCAAAUCGGAUGAAAUUAGAUUCGAUGUCCCAGCCAUGCUGAACACGCUGGCGCAAUCCGUUCGGAAAUCCGACCAACGGAUCUUCGGGAAUCGUAAAAUGUUCGCUAAGGGGUCGAAAUCAUUAAAACGGAAAAAUUGCGAAAGGUCCAAUAUUUUAUGCGCCGUUUUGCGUGAUUUUGAACGUCGAGGUACGUACGCGCAUAUUACACGCACUGGCAGGGACUGGGUUGAGAUUUUACAGUUUCGGAGGACUAAACUGUAAUUAAACCUUUAUAUAUAAAUGAUUGCAUCUAGGGUUUCAUAAAGAAACCCUAGCUCCUGGAUCCCCUCCUCAGCUGAGCUAACCCUAGCCGCCCCACCUCCUCCGAGCCCUCGCUAUGCGCGCGCGCCGGCCGCCAGCAAGCUGCUCCGGCCGCCUGAAAAUCACCCCGACCUCUCACCUAGCUCCUCCCUCCACCUUGCAGCCACCACAUCAUCUGACAGCCACGGAGAACCACCCUCGUGUGUCACAGCCUUCCCCUUGGCCAAGAUCCCUCUUCGGUGCCGUCACCGGCCGUCCCCGCCAUCAGCGCGCGCCGCCUGAGCCACCUGUGCGAGCUGCGGCCAGCCUGGGUCAGCUCGGGCCGAGCUGACUUCAGCUCGGGGCCCGUUUGUUGAAGCCACCUUAUCUCGGCCGCCACGACUCCCUCCGGCCUCUAGCAACCUCCGGCACGCUUCCCUGCCGUCCCCACGCACCGCCGGCCAUCGCUCGUGCACCCUACAACCGCCCAGAUUUGGUGCAGGCCGAGGCGGAGCUACCUCGGCCAUCGCGUGUCGUCGCCGCCCACAGCGGGGCGCACCACCCUUCCCUCGGCCUCCGGCGACGGAUCGUCGUCGCCCUGAUCUCGUCCGACCGCCGCCCGGCCGCCAUCGCCCUUGAACCCGAGAGCUAAGUGGCGGCUUUGAUCUCUGCCACCGCGCCACCGGUUGCCGCCCGCCGCCGGCCAGCACCCUCCCCGGACCUCUCGGACCGGCCGCACACGCCCUCGGUCGGAGCGACUGCCAUCCGGCCGCCGGCGACCAACCCUAGCUCCCACUGCUCUGGUAAGGCUAUUACGUAAAUUCCAGCACACUGUUUUGGGUUUCCGGUCACCUUUUCGGUGAUCCGAGGGCACCCCGAUGACUGUGGAAAUGAGCACGAUCAUCCUUGUUUCGUGCUGAACAUCGUGCUCACCUCCGUUGGGGUCAACGAUGCCCUGGUUUGCGAGUUUGAUGCGAUUUAAGCGCUGUACGCGCUGUUUCGCUGUAGUUCGCAUCACUCGCGCACCGCCCACAGUGACCGGCAGUGCUCUGAAGGGUGAGCACGGCCUCCGGCACACCGAGACCUGUCAGCAGGUGUCUCGGCUUGGCUGAAUGACCCAUGGUUUGCGCUGUUAGACCAUAAAAGCCCAGAAAUCACAUAAAAUAAUAUGAUUUCAUGGAAUCGGGAGGGCUUUUAUGCAAUUGUGUUUGUCAUGGCUGCUGUAGCCAGCGUGUGCGGGCAGUGGGUAACCUAUAGACUGAUUGUCCAAGGCCCUAGGCCUUUGUGGAAAUCGAAAAGUGAUUUUCGGUGCAUUUUUCGGCGAAAUCCGCCGACGGAAUACUUUUUCAGUUUGGAAUUCUUCCGACGGUGCUUCGUGAUGCUUUGUUAUGUCGCCGAGCCUUGUUGGCCGGUCAACCGCGUCGUUUCGAGGGUUCGGAAAUGACGGGUGAGCGAUUGUCGGUUGCGGUGUCGAAUUGGGCACUUUCGGGAACCCGGAUUGGAAUGAUUAUUCGACGAUAAUCGUUUCGGAGUGAGUUAGUGUCUUCGCUGCCAAGUCACACGAAAAUAUGUAUUUAGUGGCAGCGGGUGACUCGUAUCUUGAGUCGGUGAGUCUCGGGACAGUUCGUGGAUCUCGGCGGAGUCCCGGUGCUGUUUUCGGGACUUCCGGCGUGUUUGGCAAUUGGUUUUGGAAAAUCGAUUCUCGUGGGUUCGAUAGUGGGGAUUGUGAGUUAGCGUUUUGUGCUAGUGGGUUAGAUUCUAACCCGGUGGACCCUUCGUAGGUCAGGUUGGCAUUUCUUCCGCAGACGGAAGAUUCGUACCGUAUUUGUAUAGGUGGGUACUUCGAUCUAAAGUCGGUACAGUGGUGCACGCUCGGUGAUAUCCUCUUACCUUUGUUCUCCCGUUGUUAUUAUUGCAUACCAUAUAUUUAGCCUUACACUUAUGUUGUUUUCAUUGUACUCUACUCAGUUGUUUUCAUAUUUAGUAUCAUGAGUAGGAGUAGAGUGGUUUUAUCUACAUGUGAUAUCUGUGACCUAGUUGGUCGGUUCUCGUACUUCGUAUUAGUGACCUGGUAGGUCGGUUCUCGUACUUCGUAUAAGUGACCUGGUUGGUCGAUUCUCAUACUUCGUAUCAGUGACCUGGUUGGUCGGUUCUCGUACUUCGCAUCAGUGACCUUGUUGGUCGGUUGAACUUUUUGAUGACCUAUACGGUCAGUGUGCCCUGAGGAGGCAGGAUUGUCGGCUGGUUGCCGACGGUUGGCUAUUGAGCAUGCAGCAUCGAUCGCCACUGCUCAUACGCAUUUUACGAACACCAGCGGUCUGAUCCGCCGCAAGAAGUUAUUCUUUUUCGGAAAAGUGGUUGGGAGUGCCAACCCGUGAGCCCGGGUGCUUUAUGCGACAGUUAUAUGCUUUCAGACCCGGGUUGUUUAUGCGAGGGUCAUAUACCUUUCAGACCCGAGUGCUUUAUGCAAGGGUCACGUAUAGGUUGAGCAGUUGUGACACAGGCCUGAGGUGUUGCCGACCAAUAUGGUUAUUCCAGAUUGGGUAUUUUGGACUCAUUGUCCGUUGAUGCAUUCAUACAGUAGCGGUAGCUGUGCAUUUCUUUAUCAUGUUCAUUUAUUAUCAUUGCUACUGUAUUUCACUUAUCCAUGUUGUUUACCCUCCUUUUCUGGUGCGUACCCUCGUCCUCGUCGGCUUGCGGUAUCCACUGGGAGGGGAGACAUGUUUACAUAUUCUCACCCCCACCCCCAUUACAGGUGACGUCGCUGGUCCGAGUGGGACGGCACGUGAGGAGCACGCUAGUGAUCAUUAGAGCCAUCGUCCCGCCAUUUUGGUUUAUCAUCUUACUCUGCUUCUCUCUAAAUAAAUGACUUAGACAAUUAUUAUGGUUCAGUUUUGUCAUUACAUUUGAAUAUGUGAGAUUUCAGUUGGUUUUAUGAAGGUAAUAACGUAUUUGGAUUUCUGUGAAAUGAAAAUAGUUUUCUACCCCUCGUGGUAGCGUAUUUUCAGAAAGAAAAGGGUUUCCGCGUGGGAAACAGUUUUAAAAGAUUUUCUUAUGGUUUUUGUAUCUUAGUAUUUCAAAACCAGUUUUGGGGUAGGAAACGUUUUAACUAAUAGAUGUGGAUUUAUGAUUAAACACUGAAUGUGAAUAUGUGAUGAAUGGUGUAUGAAUGUAUGAAUGUAUAAUUGUUUGUAUAUUCAUUUAGUGGUGGUUGUAUCCUGGUUAUACAUCUUGUAUUUGUGCGACGCCGUGCAAAUACAGGGGAGACUCUAUCAGUGUGAACAGUGGACUCCUUGUAUUUGUGGCAGAUCUGGCAUACCCUGGGGUCAGGUUUUCAAAAAAAAAUUUAGGUACUUCCGCUAUGUUUUGAAACCAAAAAGGGAUCCCGGGGCGUGACUCCACUGCCCAAAAUGCUUAAGUUGGAUUAAGAGUUUUACCCCUAUUAUAUCUUAUAUAUAAGACUAUCUGGGGUCUCAUAAAACGGCUUUAGAGGUUGGAAUGGGAGAACCUGGGAUCAGUCGACCUGAUGAUCCUGCCACCAACGCCUUGGGAUUGGGAAUAGUUCUGAUACCAAUUUGUCGCAACCAAGACUCGUCGCAACCCGUAGAUGACGAUACUUUGCUUUAGCGAGGAUGGCGCAGGGAUGAUGGGUUACCCUAUCAGCCUAAUCCAUCCCUUUCCUAUCCCGAAAUCACCAUGAAUGGAGGUUCGGAGGUAGGAAAAAAGAAAGAGUAAAGGAGAGAAUGGAAGAAAAGAGUAGAAGAAAGAUAGAGAAGAAGAAGAAAAUGGAGAGGGGGAGUUGAAAAUAUAUUCUGUUACUAGCUAGUUAUUGCAAUUGUAACCCCUAUUUAUAGCCCAAUGCUAGGGCGUGUUGUAAAUUCCAACAAGUUUGAGGGGAAUUUGUAAACACACCCCUUGACUGGUCCUUGACCAAUCCAAUGAGGCGGUUGGGAUUGUUAUGGCCGGUACCCGCCUCUCGCAUGGGCCUGGGCUGUGCGAUCCCAGCGUAGUGGACUCGGAUUUGUAUUGGGUGCGGGUGGGAAACUAUGGACCUACCCCUCUUCUACCUUAUAUUUGCGAAGCUUCCUGAGGCCACCCUGUGCUUUACCUAACCCUCAAGAACUCCGCUCUCUCAGGCUUAUCCCAAGUCGUGACUUUCACCGUUCUAGAUUCUUCAGAUGCCUAUGCCCCCUGCCGGAGAUCGGAUGGCUAGCCACCGGAUUUUGAAUCACUGAGAAGCUAAGUACCUGUUUUAACCUCCCCUUCCACUUUAAUAACUUGCCAACUCAUACUUUCUAUAGGUGUUACACAGGUGUUAAGGCUUGAUGUUGUUUUAUACACUUUUCUAAUUUUUUACUAUUUUACGUUUAUGUAAGUAUUAUCACAAAUUAUUUAUGUAUUAUGAUAGCUUUAUUUAUUCACCACAAAGAGCUGGUUAACAGAAAUAUCCAAAAAUAGAAAAAUUAAGAGACGUGAAACUUUCAUUUGUUUUUUACAUAUUUUUGCAAAAGUUGCCUCUCGCCCAAAAAAAAACAUACAAAUAGAGAUUUGAAUUCUGGUGUGCUGCAUAGAAUUUCGAGUUUUAAACGGAUAACCGACUACUUGAACAAAAGGUGCACAAUAUCCAAAUGUAUGUGAGACCCACUCACAACUGUUACGCUCAUUAAAAAUAAAGUAGUUCAUUUAAUUAUAAGCAACUAAAAAGUAUCUAUACUACUUAUAAAAGUGUGAGUUUUAAAUUUUUUUCUUUUUUAAAAAAUAUUUUUAUUUUUUAACUAAUAUUUUCAUGUCCAAUAAUUUUCAACCAUUCAUUUCAAAUAAUUCUUCAAAUAAUAAUUUAUUCUCAAAUAUACAUCUUAAGUUUUUGCCAUUGGAUCUAAUCCAACAAGUAAAAAAGUAUCGGUCAUCUUUGUUGACAAAAGUACCCUCAAUAUCUGUUAUCUCUUAUCUACGUGUUUCUCAAAUAUUUUCUUUCUACCUGCCAAUCACAUAUUAUGUAAAAUUAAAUUUAUCUCCUAACGUAAUACCCGCCAAUAACGUAAUAUGUAAAAUUAAAUUUAUCCCCUAUCUACGUGUUUUCUCAAAUAUUUUUUUUCUAGAAUAUUGCUUUUCUAAAACGUAAUAUUUGCCAAUAUUACAUAGUACUCAAAAUUAAAUUUUAAAUUUUAAAUUAAGUAUAAAUUAAAUUAAAUUUACCUCCUAACUAAAUAACCGCCAAUCACGUAAUACGUAAAAUUAAAUUUAUUUCUUUUCUACGCAUUUUCUCAAAUAUUUUUUUCUCAAAUGUAAUACCUGUAAAUGACGUAGUACUCAAAAUUAUAUAUUAAAUUUUGAAUUAAGUAUAAAUUAAAUCUACUAUAUAUACUAUCUGCAUCUUUUCUAGAAUAUUGCUUUUCUAAAAUGUAAUACGUGCCAAUAUUACAUAGUACUCUAAAUUAAAUAUACCAUUUACACAUUUUUCAAAUAUUUCCUUUCUAACAUACCCGCCAAUAAUUUAAUACCCGCCAAUGUGAUAAUUUAAAUUUUAAUUUAUAAUAGUAGAUUUUCAUACGUGAGAUAGUAAAUUUAAUUGCAGUGGGUAUUAAAUUUUGACGUGCCACAAAAAAUUAGAAUAUUGCUAAAAAAAUUUAAUACCCACCCAAUCAAAAUUAAAUUAUUCAUUAAAUAUAAUUUUAAAUUUUUUAAGUAAAAUAUCAAUAUUUAACUAAUAUUCUUCAAAAUAUUCUACGCAUUUCUCAAAUAUAGAACAUAUCUUAAAGCCCUCGCAUAUAAUAUCUACACUACCCAAUCCUAUCUCAGCAUAAUACUUUCCACACAUAGAGUAUAUCAUUUUCCUCAUUUUCAUCUAUACGUUUCUCAAAUGUAAAAUAAUUUUUUUUUUUCAUUUUCACCUAUAUUUUUUUUUUCAAAUCAUUAUUGUCCUCAUCGUCAUCGCAGGCGCCAGCACAUCGUCGCUUUCGCCACCUUCGCCACAGUUGGAGAGGUUUUUUGAUCCUACCUAAAAAUUUUUCUUUUUUUAAUGUGCCUUUAUACUUUUUUAGUAUAUUUUUUUAGUAUUUUCUCAUUUUUACCUAUACAUUUCUCGAAUAUAAAGUUUAAAUAUUUUUUUAGUAAUUAGAUAGUGUAUCAAUAAAAUUAUGUUAAUUUGAAAUAAUAUUGAAGUAAUUAUUGAUAGACCUAUUUUUUAGCAUUAAAGAAUAUAGCAUUCCUUUUGCAAAAAUAGAAAAAGAAAUUCAUACUUAUUCAAAUUUUUUUCACGUAGAGAAUAUCUACAACAGAAUAUUCUUGUCACGCCCCUGGGUCCUUUUAGUUUGAAACACAGCGGAAAAGCGUCAAUUUUUUUUUUUUUUUUUUUUUAAAAGCCUAACCCCAGGGUAUGCCAGAUCCACCACAAAUACAGGAAUUCCACUAUUCACACGGACAGAAUCUCCCCUGUAUUUGCACGGCGUCGCACAAGUACAAGAGUACAAACAUAAUACAACAACAACUAAAUGAACAUACAAACAUCCAACAGUUUUAUAUUCAUACACCAUUCACCACAGGUUCAUUCACAUAGUCUUAAUCAUGAAUCCACAUCUAUCAGUUAAAAUGAUUCCUAUCCGGAAACUGGUUUUGAAAUACUAAGUUACAAAAACCACGAGAAAGCUGUUUGAAAGCCGUUAUUCAUAAGGAAAAUCUUUUCUUUUAAAACAUGCUAUCACGAGGGAUAGAAAACCUUUCCAUUUCAUGAAAAUCCAAAAAUCAUUGUCUCAUUCAGAAAACCAACUGAAAUCUUGAAUAUUUUAACAUAAUGAAAUACUGAACCAUAUAAACCGACUAAGCUAUAUAUCAAUAGAAAUAAUAAGGGUAAAAACUAAACCGAAUAAUCUGGGUCGGAAGCUCUAUCGACCGCUACGAACGUACCUCACGUCUCGUCUCAACCUCACCGCCCGCAAUACCUGAAAAAUGGUGGGCGAUGUGAGAACAUGUAAACAUGUCUUCCCUCCCAGUGGGUAGCGCAAGCCGAUGAAGGCGAGGAGUACUCACCGGAUCAGGAAGAGAUAAACAACAAUAUGGGUAAGUGUAAUACUAAAUACAGUAGCAACAAUAAUGAACGAAAGAGAUAGAACUAUAAAUGAAAGCACAACUACCGCUACUGUAAUGAACAACUGAAAGUAUAUAUGCAGCUAAACUAUAGUAGCAAGACAAGUGUAAAGAAAGAACUGAAGGUAUACAAACAACAACCGCUACUAUAGUUAUAUGCGUCAAUCGGUCAAGAAGUCCAAAUAUACCCAAUCUGAAAUCUGCUGUUCUAUUGGUCCGCAGCGCAAACCUCAAGCCUAUGCCACUACUACUCUCCCAUGCAUAUAACCCCUCUAGGGCUCACGGGUUGACACCUACAACCACUUUUCCGGAAAAGAACACUCCUUGCGGUGGUCAUCCACUGCUCACCCAUGCUGCCAACAGCAGCCGCAACAACCCAGAAUACAUAAAAGCCCUCCCGAUUACCCGAAAUCGCAUUAUUUCAUGCGAUUUCGACGCUUUUAUGGUCCGUCUACACAAACCAGAAGUCAAUCAUCCAAACCGAGACACCCGCUGACAGGUCUCGGUGUGAUGGAGGCCAUGCUCACCUUUUGGAGCAAUUUCGGCCACUGCGGCAAGAGCGCGAGCGACACGAACUUCAGCGAAACUGCGCGCUGAAACUAAAAAUGCUUCAAAUUCACUCAUCCGGGGGUCUUUGACCUUAAAUGAGGUGAGCACUGUGAUCAACACUGACCGACGAUCACCGUGCUCACCUCCGGAGGCAUCAGAACAGCCUCAGGUCGCCGGAACAUUGAUCCCAAACCGAAACAAUGCACAGAACAACAAAAACAUUGCUUACCGGCCGGGGCAGAGCUAGGGCUGGCCGGCGGCGGCCGGAUGGCGGGCGCUCCGGCCGAGGACGAGCGCGGCCGGUCAAUGGGGUCCAGGGCAGGUGCUGGCCAGCGGCGGGAGGCGGCCGGUGGCGCGGCGGCUGCGAUCCAAUCCGCCAAGUUGCUCUCGGGUUCAAGGGCGCCGGCGGCAAGGCGACGGCCGGAGGAGGUCAGGGCGACGUCAAUCCGUCGGCGGAGGCCGAGGGUAUCAUGAUACGCCCCUCCGUGGGCGGCGGCGUCGUGCGGUGGCCGAGGUGGCUCGGCCUAGGCCCGCACCAGCUCUGGACAGCCGCAGAGUGGAAGAGCGGCGGCCGACGGCUUCGGGGACGUCCGUGGAUGAACGCCGGAGGUCGCCGGAGGUGUCUGGAGGGCGGCACUGCCGGCGGGGAGCAGCGGCACCGCGCGGAUGCCGAGAUCACCCAAGCUCGGUCUGGGUGAUCGCGGUUGGCCGCAAGGAGCUAGGGCGGCUCCGUCGGCGCUUUGGGACGGCGGGGCCGCGGGCGACGGCGAGCGGGAUGUCGCCAGAAGGCGGCGCGGCCGAUGGGGGCCGGUAGCCGCACACGAAACCCGAGAUCGAGCCUGCUCGGUCUGGGCUGACCCGAGCUGGCUGCAGCUUGCUCAGCUGGCUCCAGCGGCACGUGCUGACGACGGAAACGUCCGGUGAUGGUACCGGACGUUGGUCUCGGCCAGGGGAUGGUGACGCUCUGACUUAGAUGACUCCUUGAGACCCCAACCACAACGUGGUGGAGUGGUUGGCCGAACGGGAGGGAGAGGGUAGUGCGGAAGGGUUUUCCGGUGGUCGGAGAGGCUUGCCGGCGGUCAGGGCGCGCGCACGGUUGGGCAGGGAUGCAGGUGGGGCGGCUAGGGUUCAGUUCGGCUAAAGAGAAGGCCAAAAGCUAGGGUUUCCUCAUGAAACCCUAGUGCAACUACUAUAUACAUAUGUACAUUUUGCAAGAUAGUCCUCCCAGGGAUAAUAUUCUCAGUCAAGUCCUUCACAGCUCACGUAUUUUACACAUACGCACCUCCACGUCCGAUCUCACGCGAUUCGGCACAUAAAAUAUAGGGUCUCUUCGUGAUUUAUCCGUUUUGCCAAUUUGACCCCUCAGUGGACCUUUCGCGUUUCCCAUAGAUCCGUCCGUCAGAUUUGCGAACGGAUCGCACUAGUGCGAUCAGCACAACGGAGACAAUAAACCUACGAUUUUGAUUCACAUCGAUCGGUCAUGGAUUCGCGACGAAACCUGUCCGCUCUCCAAUUUCCAAAAAACCACACACAUAUACCAAUGUGUAAUCCCACUAAAUCCUAGAUUCAAAUUCAAAUUUGAAUCUCCUACUACUAGUAGGUACAUGUAACAUCACUCACCUUACUCUAGGUCACAUACGCAGAGCACGAGGAGUCUCAUUAUGCAAGAACAGCAAAGAGCGAAAACCCUCUUUUCGAUAAAAUCCCUUUUUCUCGAAAAUCGUGCAUCAGAUCUGAAAUCCGUCAGUGCCAUUGGUUCCAGAAUAGCUGAACUGGUCGAAACGAGCUAUUGGAUCGCUAUGAACGGAGUCCGAUACGCGCCGAAAGCCAACUCUACUCUGUGGCUUCUCCGAAAAAUCAGAGUUACUAUUCAUUUAAGUAAAAACUAAAAAUCGCGUAUCUUCUCCAUUUUAGCUCAUUUUCUCCUGAAACUUUACGAGUGCUUAUAUAAUUAAAUUACACAUAGGAACAUCAUCAACAGAGAGUCUAAUUACAUUGCCAAAAUCUCAGUCCUUACAUUAUCCCCCCUUUAAAUGAAGUUUCGUCCCCGAAACUUGACCACGUACCCACCGAAAUAGAAUUCAGAUAUUACUCCACCACUACAAUAUCACCCUUGA